AACAGACCCCUCCCCCAACACUCCGCGCCCCCUAACAGACCCCUCCCCCAACACGCCCCUCCCCCUAACAGACCCCUCCCCCAACACGCCCCUCCCCUCGCCCUCAGAAACCAUUUGGCUCCUGGGAUGGAGAAGACAUUCAGUGGCAUCAUCACCUUGUGAGAACUGAGUUGAUCAUUAUUGUUGUUAUUCACGAAUAGGAUUAUCAGCAUGAUUAUGUGUUCAGUGUUUUUUAGUGUGCAUGUUUUAUGUUUUAUUUUUUAUUUUUUUUGUAUUUGUUAUUUGUUUUUAUUUUAUUUUAAGUACUUUUUUUUCAGCGUUAAUUUUGCAGAUAGAUUUUAGCUUUCAUCAUUGUAGUGUAGUGUGCACGUUUUGUUUCAAAGAUGAAGGGAAGGAACCACACCAGCACUAAGGCCUUCCUCUAUCAGUGUGACUGAACCUCUUCUCAACAUGAUGUUGUUGUUUUGUUGAGCUGUGCUGGUGUCCAAGGCCCCCUUCCUUCAGUAGCACAAACUACUGUACCCAUCAUGCAGUUGUCCAUGUACUAAUUAGUGUCUUAUUGAUGCUGAGCUGGAGGGAAGUCCAGCCUACACACAGUGGGUCCCCAGGAUGGAUCCUGACUGAGACACACUGGCAGACACCACAGGCUGCUGGUUGUCCACGUCACCACAUGGUGGUGCUGUUGUCCUAGCAACCUCAGUAGAAACACAGGAUAAAAACUGAAUACACACCAAGUCAUAUAAAGGACUGUUUUAUAACAUUAUACUUUAACGUUCAUGAUUCUGUUUUAUAUAAAUGUAUAUGUUGACGUUCUUUGACUGUUGUAAAAAAAUAGGAACGAGUGGACACAGGAGAUAUGUGAUAGAAUUGAGUGUUUAUCUGAUGAUGUCACAAGUUGUUUAAUCUUUAGCAUAAAGUAGCCCCUCCCAUUCCAUCUCCUCUAUCCCCUCUGUCCCAUUUCUUCCCAUCUACCCCCUCUCCUAUUCCAUCUCCUCUAUCCCCUCUGUCCCAUGUCUUCCCAUCUACCCCCUCUCCCAUUCCAUCUCCUCUAUCCCCUCUGUCCCAUGUCUUCCCAUCUACCCCCUCUCCCAUUCCAUCUCCUCUAUCCCCUCUGUCCCAUUUCUUCCCAUCUACCCCCUCUCCCAUUCCAUCUCCUCUAUCCCCUCUGUCCCAUGUCUUCCCAUCUACCCCCUCUCCCAUUCCAUCUCCUCUAUCCCCUCUGUCCCAUGUCUUCCCAUCUACCCCCUCUCCCAUUCCAUCUCCUCUAUCCCCUCUGUCCCAUUUCUUCCCAUCUACCCCUCUCCUAUUCCAUCUCCUCUAUCCCCUCUGUCCCAUGUCUUCCCAUCUACCCCCUCUCCUAUUCCAUAUCCUCUAUCCCCUCUGUCCCAUGUCUUCCCAUCUACCCCCUCUCCCAUUCCAUCUCCUCUAUCCCCUCUGUCCCAUGUCUUCCCAUCUACCCCCUCUCCCAUUCCAUCUCCUCUAUCCCCUCUGUCCCAUUUCUUCCCAUCUACCCCCUCUCCUAUUCCAUCUCCUCUAUCCCCUCUGUCCCAUGUCUUCCCAUCUACCCCUCUCCUAUUCCAUCUCCUCUAUCCCCUCUGUCCCAUGUCUUCCCAUCUACCCCCUCUCCUAUUCCUUCUCCUCUAUCCCCUCUGUCCCAUGUCUUCCCAUCUACCCCCUCUCCCAUUCCAUCUCCUCUAUCCCCUCUGUCCCAUUUAUUCCCAUCUACCCCCUCUCAAAUUCCAUCUCCUCUAUCCCCUCUGUCCCAUGUCUUCCCAUCUACCCCCUCUCCCAUUCCUUCUCCUCUAUCCCCUCUGUCCCAAUCCUUUCUCUCUACCCCCUCUCCCAAUCCUUUCUCUCUACCCCCUCUCUCAUUCUCCAGUGCCUUAUCCUCAGGGUUGGGGAGUUUACAUGUAACGGUAACUGUAAUCCGUUACAAACAAAAAUAUUGUAAUCAGAUUACAGAUACUUUUGAAAAACUAGAAGAUUACUUCCAGGACUAUUUUUAAAUUCAGAAAGGAUGUUUAUGAAAAAAAAAUAUUGACACUUCUAUGUUUUCUGAAUGACAUUCAAAUCAGCAUUGAAGAAGGAAAAGAGCAGGAAAGGGCUAUUGUAGGCUACAGUCCAAGCCAUGUCUUCCAAUGGUGUGACUGCUGUCGGCAUCCAAAGAUGAUCCAACUUGAAUAAACGCUUGGAGGUGAGGAUGACAGCAAUGGUGGAGUCUACCGCAAUACCGAUAUCACUUAUUAUUAUCUACAUAGCGCAUUGAUGUGAGUCACACUGCAUGCUCUCUUAUUUAGCUAUUUUUGCCUUACGGAUUGUGGUUGUUGUGGAUGGAUGUUCACAAAUCUAAAUGUGGUUUUGAACCCAAUAAUGGUUGAAUUCAAGAAGUUUAAACUGCCUGUCAAUCAAUGUUUUUGAAACCAGUGGAUAGCCAGUGAAAAAAGCACUCUUGAAACAGCUGCAUAGUGCGGAUCCCAGCCUAUGGAAUAACAGCUGCAUAGUGUGGAACCCAGCCUAUGGAAUAACAACUGCAUAGUGUGGAACCCAGCAUAUGGAAUAACAGCUGCAUAGUGUGGAACCCAGCAUAUGGAAUAACAGCUGCAUAGUGCGGAUCCCAGCCUAUGGAAUAACAGCUGCAUAGUGUGGAACCCAGCCUAUGGAAUAACAGCUGCAUAGUGUGGAACCCAGCAUAUGGAAUAACAGCUGCAUAGUGUGGAACCCAGCAUAUGGAAUAACAGCUGCAUAGUGUGGAACCCAGCAUAUGGAAUAACAGCUGCAUAGUGUGGAACCCAGCCUAUGGAAUAACAGCUGCAUAGUGUGGAACCCAGCAUAUGGAAUAACAGCUGCAUAGUGUGGAACCCAGCAUAUGGAAUAACAGCUGCAUAGUGUGGAACCCAGCAUAUGGAAUAACAGCUGCAUAGUGUGGAACCCAGCAUAUGGAAUAACAGCUGCAUAGUGUGGAACCCAGCAUAUGGAAUAACAGCUGCAUAGUGUGGAACCCAGCAUAUGGAAUAACAGCUGCAUAGUGUGGAACCCAGCAUAUGGAAUAACAGCUGCAUAGUGUGGAACCCAGCCUAUGGAAUAACAGCUGCAUAGUGUGGAACCCAGCAUAUGGAAUAAACGUGGUGCUUUUAUUGCACAAUAUAAUUCAAGUUGAUAAAAAUAAAUCCAUAAGCCUACUGGACACAUGCUCAAACUCGUUCACUUUUGAUAGACUUAAAGGGUCAAUCUGUAGAUGGUACAUCCAUAUUUGGACUUAUACAUUAUAUAUACCUGUAUAUAUCCAUUGAUUGUUGAAGAAUAUAACUUAUAAAUGCCUCAUGAGCUUAGUUCAACUGCCACACUCCAUCAGAACCCAAAAUAGAAGCUUGUUUUUCUCCAAUGUUUGUAAACAUUGUAAAUGUAAUCAAACAAGGUAUAGCCUCAUAACAUACUGUAGUUACAACUGUAAUGUUGAUAUCAUGGAUGGUCAGUCCUUACAUCCGUAGCUUUGUCUAUUAAUCUGAGAGUGGUUACAUUUCUCCAGGCCCAUCCCUCAGCCUUUUACCAAAACAGAGGCGGGGUGCCCAUUUUGUUAUUGUUUCAUCUGUGGAGUUGCCCUUUAAACAGCUGCAUAUUAUCAAGAUAUCAAAGUGUCGCCAACGAAAAGGUAAACAAUAGACAUAUAGCAAAUGCAGCAUAUGGCAUUCAUUUUUCACAUGUAAAUAGCCAUUUUCAGUAGUGCUCAAAGCAUGCCAUUCCAUGAGCGAAGCAUUUAUUUUUCAAUUAGAAUCAAUAAGCCCAAUCAGUCCUCAAUGACAAAAUCAUAAACAACACAGUAGGGCUGGCUAAUAAGUCCUUCGUUUUGGGGUUAUACUCAGAUAAAACAGUUUGGCUGAUCUAUACUUCUGUAUUUCCAAGUCCUAUUCUUGAAGGUCAAGGGGUGUAUCAUUUAUUGUAAUGACUGGAAUUCUGAUAGACUGGUUUUUAAUGUAAAGAUAUAAUUUAAUCGUUGUAGUAGAAAGCGAUGGGUUAGAAGAAGCCUACAUAACCAACCCAUAAAGUAAAAUGUAACAUCCAUUUAUGACCAGCUAUGUAAACUCUAACAUUGAUUUAUCCUGCAAUGUUGUUCAAUUGAUAACAUACAUUUUUGUCUUCUUCUUAUGCCUCUUAAGGGGAAAGUCAUCUAAAAUAAAUUGAAUGUAAUCAGAUUACGUUACUGAGUUUGGGUAAUCCAAAAGUUAUAUUUCUGAUUACAAUUUUGGACAGGUAACUAGUUUAGAAAGUAACCUACCCAACCCUGCUUAUCCUACUGUGCCUUCUCCUGUCUCUCCUCUACCCCCCUCUCCCAUUCCAUCUCCUAUACCCUAGUCCCAUUCCCUAGGGCCUGUCUCUCCUCUACCCCCCCUCUCCCAUUCCAUCUCCUAUACCCUAGUCCCAUUCCCUAGGGCCUAUAUCUCCUCUACCCCCCCUCUCCCUUUCCAUCUCCUAUACCCUAGUCCCAUUCCCUAGGGCCUGUCUCUCCUCUUCCCCCCCUCUCCCAUUCCAUCUCCUAUACCCUAGUCCCAUUCCCUAGGGCCUAUAUCUCCUCUACCCCCCCUCUCCCUUUCCAUCUCCUAUACCCUAGUCCCAUUCCCUAGGGCCUGUCUCUCCUCUCCCAUUCCAUCUCCUAUACCCUAGUCCCAUUCCCUAGGGCCUGUCUCUCCUCUACUCCUCUCUCCCAUUCCAUCUCCUAUACCCUAGUCCCAUUCCCUAGGGCCUGUCUCUCCUCUACUCUCCUCUCCCAUUCCAUCUCCUAUACCCUAGUCCCAUUCCAUCUCCUAUACCCUAGUCCCAUUCCAUCUCCUAUACCCUAGUCCCAUUCCAUCUCCUAUACCCUAGUCCCAUUCCAUCUCCUAUACCCUAGUCCCAUUCCAUCUCCUAUACCCUAGUCCCAUUCCAUCUCCUAUACCCUAGUCCCAUUCCCUAGGGCCUUAUCCUACAGUGCCUUCUAUACCCCCCUCCCAUUUUUAUUUUUAUUUAACCAGGAAAAGCCUAUUGAGACACAGAGUCUCUUUUUCAAGGGAGACCUGGCCAAGAAGGCAGCAACAAUCAAUACAUUACAGAAUUAAAACAUACAACAAUACAAUACAACAACAUGAUCCAGCCUAAGAAAAAGCAUUUACACUCCUCUGUAACAGAGUCUCCCAUCAAUAUUUUAAAUGAAUUCCGUGGCACUAACAUCAAUAGUGGAAAAAGUACCCAAUUGUCAUACUUGAGUAAAUGUAAAGAUACCUUAAUAGAAAAUGGCUCCAGCAGUCUAAAGUGGCGCAGCGGUCUAAGGCACUGCAUCUCAGUAAAGGCGUCACUACAGACCCUGGUUUGAUUCCAGGCUGUAUCACAUCCGGCCGUGAUUGGGAGUCCCAUAGUGCGUCGCACAAUUGGCCCAGUGUCGUCUGGGUUAGGGUUUGGCCGGGGAAGGCCCAGUGUCGUCUGGAUUAGGGUUUGGCCGGGGAAGGUCCAGUGUCAUCUGGAUUAGGGUUUGGCAGGGGAAGGUCCAGUGUCGUCUGGAUUAGGGUUUAGCAGGGGAAGGUCCAGUGUCGUCUGGAUUAGGGUUUGACAGGGGAAGGCCCAGUGUCGUCUGGAUUAGGGUUUGGCAGGGGAAGGUCCAGUGUCGUCUGGAUUAGGGUUUGGCAGGGGAAGGUCCAGUGUCGUCUGGAUUAGGGUUUGGCAGGGGAAGGUCCAGUGUCGUCUGGAUUAGGGUUUGGCAGGGGAAGGCCCAGUGUCGUCUGGAUUAGGGUUUGGCCGGGGAAGGCCCAGUGUCGUCUGGAUUAGGGUUUAGCAGGGGAAGGCCCAGUGUCGUCUGGAUUAGGGUUUAGCAGGGGAAGGUCCAGUGUCGUCUGGAUUAGGGUUUGGCCGGGGAAGGCCCAGUGUCGUCUGGAUUAGGGUUUAGCAGGGGAAGGUCCAGUGUCGUCUGGAUUAGGGUUUAGCAGGGGAAGGUCCAGUGUCGUCUGGAUUAGGGUUUAGCAGGGGAAGGCCCAGUGUCGUCUGGAUUAGGGUUUAGCAGGGGGAAGGUCCAGUGUCGUCUGGAUUAGGGUUUAGCAGGGGGAAGGCCCAGUGUCGUCUGGAUUAGGGUUUAGCAGGGGAAGGCCCAGUGUCGUCUGGAUUAGGGUUUAGCAGGGGAAGGCCCAGUGUCGUCUGGAUUAGGGUUUAGCAGGGGAAGGUCCAGUGUCGUCUGGAUUAGGGUUUGGCCGGGGAAGGCCCAGUGUCGUCUGGAUUAGGGUUUAGCAGGGGAAGGUCCAGUGUCGUCUGGAUUAGGGUUUAGCAGGGGAAGGCCCAGUGUCGUCUGGAUUAGGGUUUGGAUGGGGAAGGCCCAGUGUCGUCUGGAUUAGGGUUUAGCAGGGGAAGGCCCAGUGUCGUCUGGAUUAGGGUUUGGAUGGGGAAGGCCCAGUGUCGUCUGGAUUAGGGUUUAGCAGGAGAAGGUCCAGUGUCGUCUGGAUUAGGGUUUAGCAGGGGAAGGUCCAGUGUCGUCUGGAUUAGGGUUUGGCCGGGGAAGGUCCAGUGUCGUCUGGAUUAGGGUUUAGCAGGGGAAGGUCCAGUGUCGUCUGGAUUAGGGUUUAGCAGGGGAAGGCCCAGUGUCGUCUGGAUUAGGGUUUGGAUGGGGAAGGCCCAGUGUCGUCUGGAUUAGGUUUUGGAUGGGGAAGGCCCAGUGUCGUCUGGAUUAGGGUUUAGCAGGGGAAGGUCCAGUGUCGUCUGGAUUAGGGUUUAGCAGGGGAAGGUCCAGUGUCGUCUGGAUUAGGGUUUAGCAGGGGAAGGCCCAGUGUCGUCUGGAUUAGGGUUUAGCAGGGGAAGGUCCAGUGUUGUCUGGAUUAGGGUUUGGCCGGGGAAGGUCCAGUGUCGUCUGGAUUAGGGUUUGGCCGGGGAAGGCCUAGUGUCGUCUGGAUUAGGGUUUGGCAGGGGAAGGUCCAGUGUCGUCUGGAUUAGGGUUUGGCAGGGGAAGGCCCAGUGUCGUCUGGAUUAGGGUUUGGCAGGGGAAAGUCCAGUGUCGUCUGGAUUAGGGUUUGGCCGGGGAAGGCCCAGUGUCGUCUGGAUUAGGGUUUGGCAGGGGAAGGUCCAGUGUCGUCUGGAUUAGGGUUUGGCAGGGGAAGGUCCAGUGUCGUCUGGAUUAGGGUUUGGCAGGGGAAGGUCCAGUGUCGUCUGGAUUAGGGUUUGGCCGGGGAAGGCCCAGUGUCGUCUGGAUUAGUGUUUGGCCGGGGAAGGCCCAGUGUCGUCUGGAUUAGGGUUUGGCCGGGGAAGGCCCAGUGUCGUCUGGAUUAGGGUUUGGCCGGGGAAGGCCCAGUGUCGUCUGGAUUAGGGUUUGGCCGGGGAAGGCCCAGUGUGGUCUGUAUUAGGGUUUGGCCGUGGAAGGCCGUCAUUGUAAAUAAGAAUUUGUUCUUAACUGACUUGCCUAGUUAAAUGAAGGUUAUAGAAAAAGAAAAUGGUAAAAGUGAAAGUCACGCAGUAAAAUACUACUUGAGUAAAAGUAUUUGCUUUUAAAUGCUUUCUCCUAUAUUUCUCCUUCCCAUUCCCUAGGGCAUUAUCCUACAGUGCUUUCUCCUAUAUCCCUUCCCAUUCCCUAGUGCCUUAUCCUACAGUACUUUCUCCUAUAUCCCUUCCCUUCCCUAGGGCAUUAUCCUACAGUACUUUCCCAUAUAUCCCAUUCCCUAGUGCCUUAUCCUACAGUGUUUUCUCCCCUUCCCAUUCCCUAGUGCGAUAUCCUACAGUGCUUUCUCCCCUUCUCAUUCCCUAGCGCAUUAUCCUACAGUGCUUUCUCCCCUACCCAUUCCCUAGGGCAUUAUUCUACAGUACUUUCUCCUAUACCCAUUCCCUAGGGCAUUAUCCUACAGUGCUUUCUCCUAUACCCAUUCCCUGGCGCAUUAUCCUACAGUACUUUCUCCUAUACCCAUUCCCUAGUGCAUUAUCCUACAGUGCUUUCUCCUAUACCCAUUCCCUAGCGCAUUAUCCUACAGUGCUUUCUCCUAUACCCAUUCCCUAGCACAUUAUCCUACUGUGCUUUCUCCUAUACCCAUUCCCUGGCACAUUAUCCUACAGUGCUUUCUCCUGUACCCAUUCCCUAGGGCAUUAUCCUACAGUACUUUCUCCUAUACCCAUUCCCUAGCACAUUAUCCUACAGUGCUUUCUCCUGUACCCAUUCCCUGGCACAUUAUCCUACAGUGCUUUCUCCUGUACCCAUUCCCUAGCGCAUUAUCCUACAGUACUUUCUCCUAUACCCAUUCCCUAGUGCAUUAUCCUACAGUGCUUUCUCCUAUAUCCCUUCCCAUUCCCUAGCGCAUUAUCCUACAGUGCUUUCUCCCCUUCCCAUUCCCUAGCGCAUUAUCCUACAGUGCUUUCUCCCCUACCCCUUCCCUAGGGCAUUAUCCUACAGUACUUUCUCAUAUACCCCAUUCCCUAGGGCAUUAUCCUACAGUACUUUCUCAUAUACCCCAUUCCCUAGGGCAUUAUCCUACAGUACUUUCUCAUAUACCCCAUUCCCUAGGGCAUUAUCCUACAGUGCUUUCUCCCCUACCCCUUCCCUAGGGCAUUAUCCUACAGUACUUUCUCAUAUACCCCAUUCCCUAGUGCCUUAUCCUACAGUGCUUUCUCCCCUUCCCAUUCCCUAGUGCGAUAUCCUACAGUGCUUUCUCCCCUUCUCAUUCCCUAGCGCAUUAUCCUACAGUGCUUUCUCCCCUACCCAUUCCCUAGGGCAUUAUUCUACAGUACUUUCUCCUAUACCCAUUCCCUGGCGCAUUAUCCUACAGUGCUUUCUCCUGUACCCAUUCCCUAGCGCCUUAUCCUACAGUACUUUCUCCUAUACCCAUUCCCUAGGGCAUUAUCCUACAGUGCUUUCUCCUAUACUCUAUACAAUCUGAAAAGAUUGUCAGUGUUUCGAGCUCCAGUCUUUUUCUGGAUGUAACUGUGUAACCAUUGAUUUCUUGUUAAGCUAAUAUUUAACCCGUCAAUGCUGUUUUUCUCUUGGCAGUAUAACUGACUACAUUUGAAGGUUUUAUGUGUUUCUGAGGGAAAAACCUACGAGAGGACAAGGAAGAAUAAUAUGAUUCAAAUAGACAGGAAGGAGAAAUUGCCUUUAUUGUUUACCAUAACACGCAUCAUACACUAUCAUACAGCAUGUUAUUAAAACAGGACUAAACUAACUGAAGUUCUCAAUGGUGAUGUAAUAAUGACUUGUCAAUGGUGAUGACAUCUUGUUCUGCCUCUCCUCCAGCUGACUAUGAGGACUGGUUUCACCAUAACUGACUUCUGAAGCUUCGGUUUUGACACUGGGAUAGGGUAUAUUUUACACUUUCCCUCAUUGGUGCUGAGAAUAGCUGGCUACUGUGACUCCCUUUUCUGUGUGUGUGAGAGAGAGUGAGACCAAGGGAGAGAUUAUUUGAAAAGAAGAGGAAGAAAUGUGAGUGCAGGGAAGAGUGAUAUGAUCCCUUAGCAUCUCGGAGCCAAGGACACACAAAACCACAUCUCGUUAGUUUGAGCAAUGCUUUUAGAUUUAUUUGACAGAAUAUUACAGUAGUGCUAUAACCCUUCACACAACCUCUAUAACCCUUCACACAGUUGCUAUAAGCCUUCCCUUUGCCCUUAUGUAGACAGGAUGAGCAGUGAGCUGAGACAUGCUCUGUAAUGAACAACACCUCAAAGCAAUGUGGAAAAAACACUAGACUAGGACUCAUAUUUAUAUUAUUAUUUACAAAUCAUGUUCAAUUACAACAUUUUGAUAUCUGUCUAUUUCAAAAGACACUGCUUUUGGUCACGAAAACAUGUUUAUUGUUAUUCCAUUAUUUUAUCAUCAAUAAAUAACUGUUCUCCAGUA
This is a long non-coding RNA of Oncorhynchus masou masou (cherry salmon), 9820 nucleotides long. RefSeq lists it as uncharacterized. NCBI's taxonomy places the organism in Eukaryota, Metazoa, Chordata, Actinopteri, Salmoniformes, Salmonidae. The record is from RefSeq and is a predicted model, not a curated record. The transcript has 2 exons.